Molecule: ribosomal RNA, 468 nt
Filed under: uncultured bacterium
Lineage: Bacteria
Description: partial 16S ribosomal RNA
Rfam family: Bacterial small subunit ribosomal RNA
Source: RNAcentral
GACGAACGCUGGCGGCGUGCUUAACACAUGCAAGUCGAACGGAAAGGCCCUGCUUUUGUGGGGUGCUCGAGUGGCGAACGGGUGAGUAACACGUGAGUAACCUGCCCUUGACUUUGGGAUAACUUCAGGAUACUGGGGCUAAUACCGGAUAGGAGCUCCUGCUGCAUGGUGGGGGUUGGAAAGUUUCGGCGGUUGGGGAUGGACUCGCGGCUUAUCAGCUUGUUGGUGGGGUAGUGGCUUACCAAGGCUUUGACGGGUAGCCAGCCUGAGAGGGUGACCGGCCACAUUGGGACUGAGAUACGGCCCAGACUCCUACGGGAGGCAGCAGUGGGGAAUAUUGCACAAUGGGCGGAAGCCUGAUGCAGCAACGCCGCGUGCGGGAUGACGGCCUUCGGGUUGUAAACCGCUUUCGCCUGUGACGAAGCGUGAGUGACGGUAAUGGGUAAAGAAGCACCGGCUAACUACGUG